UGCUUCCUUCCUUGUGGUAGGUGCUCAUCAAAUUGCUCAGCCCCAUGUGGAGGAAGCGAGCCUUUUAUGCUUCCAACACCUAGGGCCACCAGGUAAAGACCAGAAAAUAACAUAGCUGCUUGGCCAUCAUCAACUUUGACCCUUUUAUGCCUCCAACACCUAGGGCCACCAGGUAAAGACCAGAAAAUAACAUAGCUGCUCGGCCAUCAUCAACUUCUUCACAUGCAAUGUUUCUGUUAAUUGAUGUACAAAUGGGUGGCCUCAGAGAAGGUAUGCGAGCUUGUACUGUGAGAAUCAAUAGUCCCUGUUCCAGUGUUUUUCAGUUAGUAACAAACCACGCUACAUAAGAUACUAAUCAUUUUUACAGUGGUUGUCAAGUCUUAAAAAGAAGAAAGGUUACUUGUCAUUUUCAAUAUUCUGUAACAUGUUAAGAACUUUCAGCGAGAUGAGGCCUCUCUUUUUGAGCAACUUACUUUGUUACAGAAAAAAAAAUAGGCCCAUGCCUAGGCGUCCACCUUUUUCAAGGUGAUAAAGUCCUGAAACUUCUUGGUAAACAUCUUGAUCAUUUCACAAUUUUACCUGGUGAAAUUGGAUAAAGGGAUUGUAUUUAUUUGCGCAAUACCUGUCUUCAGUUGCAUUCUCCCAUUUGAAUUAGUCGUACAGUAACCUUUCAUUAUUUCUCCAAGAAGAACUAAAUUACACUUCUUAUCAAAGUAGUAUGUCUUUAUCAUUUCAAUGUAUUGAAAAUGAGCUACCCGAGUUUUUAUAUCAACGAUCGUUAUGGGGUGAAUGGAUUCUUUCCCUGCAGACCAUAUUCAGCAUUUCUGAUUUCCGAUUUGACAGAACUAAGUCAAGACAUGUAAAUUUUAAUGUAUGACAUUUGUUCUUCAAUAUCUGCAUGGUACCCACCUAGGAGUUGGCUUAUUCUCUAACCAGUCACUAGAACAAAGGAGUUAGCAAGGGCUGAAAAUCCUUUUGUUCUAUGUGUUUAGCAAAGUUAUGUGUAUGCCUUUGCAUUAGAUAAAAAGGUCAUCUGGUUUGUGAAUGUUACUUUACAAAAAAUGAUAUCAAGAGAAAAGUUCUUACCGUAAAUUCAAUUAUUGCACUUGUCAGGUAGAUGCAAUAAGUGGUGAAGAAUGCAUCAGAUAAGAACCCACCAAGUAGAGCGAGAAGGAAAGCGGUCCCCAUAAAGUUUGUUACUAU
Molecule: long non-coding RNA, 1203 nt
Filed under: Nicotiana benthamiana
Lineage: Eukaryota; Viridiplantae; Streptophyta; Magnoliopsida; Solanales; Solanaceae
Description: long non-coding RNA (NBEN_LNC024813)
Source: RNAcentral